GUUUACUUUUUAAGAAUUAAAUGCCGAAAUCAUGUCAGAAAUUAAUGUAAAUCCCGGAUGCACUUCAUUUCACUUUCCUCUGUGCAUUGCAGUUGUGCCACAGUGAAACACAAUCACUGUCCAAUCACAGCCCUACACUGCACUCAGGGGCAUGGCUAUAAUCAGAGAAGGGUGAAAAGCAGCGCCAUUGAAAUAGUGUUUCAACACUGCCAUAGACUUCUCUUGUAAUCGGAGCAUGUGGCAGUGACUCGUGUCUUGGGGCAGCCGAUAGUUCCAAACACUGAAUGGUUCCAGCACUGUACCCCAUUAACUUCAGUGUUUCCCAAACACAUUCGCUGGAGUGAGGUAUCUCACUAUGGGAAACUCCUCGGGUGUGAACGAUCCUGGAAGCACCAAUAACACCACACCUGUCAGCUGAGGGAGUGCCGACCUCCCUAACAUAUAAGACGCUGCCAAAGGUCCCUUCUUCAUUCUCAGCAUAUCUCUUCUCCAUGCAACUGCAAGGAGGGAAGUGCGGAGGUCGAAUGAGUUUCUAUGAAGACUGCCCAUUCAAGAAAAAAACUCAUCUACACUCUCCCUGGAUGUAUUAUAUAAUAAAAUGUUUUGUUCAAUGCAAUUGGUUGUUUAUUUUGCACGAUUGACCAAACUUCUUUCUUGGGUAAAUUGAACAGUUGCUUGCAUUUAUUGAUAUUCACUUGUUGUGCAUGCUUAUGUGAAUGCCUUAACAUAAGAUAACAUUAGGAUGUGAGUAAUUAUGACCAUAGAAGCACAAGAAAAAUAUUAAUGCAUACAUACUGUAAAUGUAUUCUAUGUUAUGGGAGCAAUGACUUCCCUCCAAAAUUAAACACAGA
Pangasianodon hypophthalmus (striped catfish) is the source of this 851-nucleotide long non-coding RNA. RefSeq lists it as uncharacterized. The transcript is spliced from 3 exons. The record is from RefSeq and is a predicted model, not a curated record. Lineage: Eukaryota; Metazoa; Chordata; Actinopteri; Siluriformes; Pangasiidae.